Molecule: ribosomal RNA, 253 nt
Filed under: uncultured bacterium
Lineage: Bacteria
Description: partial 16S ribosomal RNA
Rfam family: Bacterial small subunit ribosomal RNA
Source: RNAcentral
UACAGAGGCCUCAAGCGUUGUUCGGAUUCAUUGGGCGUAAAGGGUGCGUAGGUGGCAGGGUAAGUCGGAUGUGAAAUCCCGGGGCUCAACCUCGGAACUGCAUUCGAUACUGCUUUGCUUGAGUACUGGAGAGGAGAUUGGAAUUUACGGUGUAGCAGUGAAAUGCGUAGAUAUCGUAAGGAAGACCAGUGGCGAAGGCGGAUCUCUGGACAGUUACUGACACUGAGGCACGAAGGCCAGGGGAGCAAACGGG